UAAUAAAUGUAUCGUAUGGUGUGUGUGUGGCAGGCUUACAAUGAUGGCAAAAAACAACAUUUGAGAGUGUGCUGACCCUGCUGCUAGAGGGGGUACGCAGCUGGAGGUUGAAUGUUUGAAGGGGUAUGGGACUAUAAAAAGUUUGGGAACCACUUUUCUAGACGAUUCUGUGCUUCCAACUUUGCGGCAACAGUUUGGGGAAGGCCCUUUCCGGUCUCAGCAUGACAAUGCCCCCGUGCACAAAGCGAGGUCCAUACAGAAAUGGUUUGUCGAAAUCGAUGUGGAAGAACAUGACUGGCCUGCACAGAGCCCUGACCUCAACCCCAUCGAACACCUUUAGGAUUAAUUGGAACACUGACUGCCAGCCAGGCCUAAUAGCCCAACAUCAGUGCCCGACGUCACUAAUGCUCUUGUGGCUGAAUGGAAGCAAGUCCCUGCAACAAUGUUCCAACAUCUAGUGGAAAGCCUUCCCAGAAGAGUGGAGGCUGUUAUAGCAGCAAAGGUGGCUGCAUAUUAAUGCCCAUGAUUUUGGAAUGAGAUGUUCAACAAGCAGGUGUCCACAUACAUUUGGCCAUGUAGUGUAUAUUUUCAGGGUGACCAGGCAUAGACACAGAUAACAAAAAAUGUAUUAAUGUUGUCUGUAGAGAAACACCACCCUGAUGGAAAGAGGGAGAUCGUCUUCCCAGAUCAGACGAUAAAGUUCCUCUAUCCUGACGGCAGAGAGGAGAGCAUCUUCCCAGAUGGAACAGUGGUCAAGCUCUCAGAAAGUGGGGAGAAAACAGUGGAGUUCAACAAUGGCCAAAGAGAGAUCCAUACGUCCCAGUACAAGCGGAGGGAAUACCCUGAUGGAACAUUGAAGACGGUGUAUUCUAAUGGAAGGCAAGAGACCAAGUUCCCCUCGGGCAGAGUACGCAUUAAGGACAAGGAUGGCAUUGUCAUAAUAGACAAGAAAUGAAGAACAUAUGUUUUAUGUUUUUCAAGCCUUUAUACCAAAUUAGCAAUGCUCCAUUGUGUUUGACUGUAGCUAUUUUCCUGUGGCAUAUUUGAUCAUUUUCUAAGUGCUUGUGUGUAAACAGACAUUUUUAAAUUGUGUAUGUUUAUUAUUCAUAAAUCAUUGUACACUAAAUAAGUACUACUAAUCAAUACAAUACAUUUGUGUUGAAACUAUUUUGUAGAGAUCUUUGAAUGUCCAUACUGCUCUCUUGAAGGAAUAUAUUUCUUAUUUUUGCAUGGCAAUGUCAUAACCUUCUUGACCUCUUCAUUUGUGUCAGCAGGAUUCUUAUGUUGCACAGAAUGACAGAUUAUUCAUGAGGUCCCCACAUAUCCCUUGCCUCUCAAACAACAAGACUGACAUGUAGGUUAGGGCUAAUAACUUACUGGCCUGGGCCCGGUUUCCUGCUGAGGAGUAUUUCUGUCUGUAAUAAAGCCCUUUUGUGGGGAAAAACUCAUUCUGAUUGGCGACUGGCUCUUCAGUGUGUGGGACCCCUGCCCAGACAUGUGAAAUCCAUAGAUUAGGGCCUAAUGAAUUAAUUUAAACUGACUGAUUUCCUUAUAUGUAUGUAACUCAGUAAAAUCUUUGAAAUUGUU
Molecule: long non-coding RNA, 1587 nt
Organism: Salvelinus fontinalis (brook trout)
Lineage: Eukaryota; Metazoa; Chordata; Actinopteri; Salmoniformes; Salmonidae
Exons: 2
Source: RefSeq, a predicted model, not a curated record